AACGCGAAGAACCUUACCUGGGUUUGACAUCCCCGGACAGCCCUAGAGAUAGGGUUUCCCCUUCGGGGGCCGGGAGACAGGUGCUGCAUGGCUGUCGUCAGCUCGUAUCGUGAGAUGUCGGGUUAAGUCCCUUAACGAGCGCAACCCUUGUCCCUAGUUGCCACCAUUUAGUUGGGCACUCUAGGGAGACUGCCGGUGUUAAACCGGAGGAAGGUGGGGAUGACGUCAAGUCCUCAUGGCCCUUAUGUCCAGGGCAACACACGUGCUACAAUGGCCGAUACAAAGGGUUGCUAACCCGCGAGGGGGAGCUAAUCUCAGAAAGUCGGUCUCAGUUCGGAUUGAAGUCUGCAACUCGACUUCAUGAAGCUGGAAUCGCUAGUAAUCGCGGAUCAGAACGCCGCGGUGAAUACGUUCCCGGGCCUUGUACACACCGAGUAUA
This 439-nucleotide ribosomal RNA is filed under the name uncultured bacterium. RNAcentral describes it as "bacterial SSU rRNA". It matches the Rfam family "Bacterial small subunit ribosomal RNA", at positions 958 to 1398 of the family's 1533-position model. The record is from RNAcentral.